UUUGUAUUACGUGCGGAAAUUGUUACCAUUUUCGGCUCAAAAAUGGUAACAAUUUCCGCAUGUAAUACAAA
RNAcentral lists this microRNA precursor (71 nucleotides) under Paramuricea clavata. Lineage: Eukaryota; Metazoa; Cnidaria; Anthozoa; Malacalcyonacea; Plexauridae. The record is from RNAcentral.